CAGGUCACCACGUUUGUCUUUAGCUCCAUUCUUCAGCUCUUGUUUUUCUAUUUACAUUUUUUACGGCUAUCAGAUGAGAUGUGACUGACAAUAAGUCUUCUGUCCUCUGUACUCGUUGCAGGUACAGAGAGUCCUCACAUGCUUCAGUGCCAUGGAUGGCGUCACGCAGCCUUGCCUUCAAUAUGACCCACAUCGUCAAAUUGACAGCACUGGCAGGCAGCCAGCUCUCCCAACAAAACAGCCGAGCCACGUGCAGCUUCGCCUGGGAAGGGAAGUAACUUACGUAUCAUGCCUUCUACGAGUCGAGCACAGAAACGCGAAUAUUCUGGGGAGCAGCAUGCCGUGCAGUUCCCUGCUGUCCGCUCUGUGACCCCUCUGAAGUUACACCGAUUUCCAUGAAGCCUUGAAAAGGGAGGGGAGCUGCAAGCCGAUCCACGCUCGCCACCAUCAACAAGGCGUAGAUCCGAACUCCCUCUGACGUCUUGAUGUCACAGCCUCU
Molecule: long non-coding RNA, 499 nt
Organism: Gasterosteus aculeatus aculeatus (three-spined stickleback)
Lineage: Eukaryota; Metazoa; Chordata; Actinopteri; Perciformes; Gasterosteidae
Source: Ensembl